Molecule: ribosomal RNA, 2899 nt
Filed under: Escherichia coli
Lineage: Bacteria; Pseudomonadati; Pseudomonadota; Gammaproteobacteria; Enterobacterales; Enterobacteriaceae
Description: 23S ribosomal RNA
Rfam family: Bacterial large subunit ribosomal RNA
Source: RNAcentral
UUAAGCGACUAAGCGUACACGGUGGAUGCCCUGGCAGUCAGAGGCGAUGAAGGACGUGCUAAUCUGCGAUAAGCGUCGGUAAGGUGAUAUGAACCGUUAUAACCGGCGAUUUCCGAAUGGGGAAACCCAGUGUGUUUCGACACACUAUCAUUAACUGAAUCCAUAGGUUAAUGAGGCGAACCGGGGGAACUGAAACAUCUAAGUACCCCGAGGAAAAGAAAUCAACCGAGAUUCCCCCAGUAGCGGCGAGCGAACGGGGAGCAGCCCAGAGCCUGAAUCAGUGUGUGUGUUAGUGGAAGCGUCUGGAAAGGCGCGCGAUACAGGGUGACAGCCCCGUACACAAAAAUGCACAUGCUGUGAGCUCGAUGAGUAGGGCGGGACACGUGGUAUCCUGUCUGAAUAUGGGGGGACCAUCCUCCAAGGCUAAAUACUCCUGACUGACCGAUAGUGAACCAGUACCGUGAGGGAAAGGCGAAAAGAACCCCGGCGAGGGGAGUGAAAAAGAACCUGAAACCGUGUACGUACAAGCAGUGGGAGCACGCUUAGGCGUGUGACUGCGUACCUUUUGUAUAAUGGGUCAGCGACUUAUAUUCUGUAGCAAGGUUAACCGAAUAGGGGAGCCGAAGGGAAACCGAGUCUUAACUGGGCGUUAAGUUGCAGGGUAUAGACCCGAAACCCGGUGAUCUAGCCAUGGGCAGGUUGAAGGUUGGGUAACACUAACUGGAGGACCGAACCGACUAAUGUUGAAAAAUUAGCGGAUGACUUGUGGCUGGGGGUGAAAGGCCAAUCAAACCGGGAGAUAGCUGGUUCUCCCGAAAGCUAUUUAGGUAGCGCCUCGUGAAUUCAUCUCCGGGGGUAGAGCACUGUUUCGGCAAGGGGGUCAUCCCGACUUACCAACCCGAUGCAAACUGCGAAUACCGGAGAAUGUUAUCACGGGAGACACACGGCGGGUGCUAACGUCCGUCGUGAAGAGGGAAACAACCCAGACCGCCAGCUAAGGUCCCAAAGUCAUGGUUAAGUGGGAAACGAUGUGGGAAGGCCCAGACAGCCAGGAUGUUGGCUUAGAAGCAGCCAUCAUUUAAAGAAAGCGUAAUAGCUCACUGGUCGAGUCGGCCUGCGCGGAAGAUGUAACGGGGCUAAACCAUGCACCGAAGCUGCGGCAGCGACACUAUGUGUUGUUGGGUAGGGGAGCGUUCUGUAAGCCUGUGAAGGUGUGCUGUGAGGCAUGCUGGAGGUAUCAGAAGUGCGAAUGCUGACAUAAGUAACGAUAAAGCGGGUGAAAAGCCCGCUCGCCGGAAGACCAAGGGUUCCUGUCCAACGUUAAUCGGGGCAGGGUGAGUCGACCCCUAAGGCGAGGCCGAAAGGCGUAGUCGAUGGGAAACAGGUUAAUAUUCCUGUACUUGGUGUUACUGCGAAGGGGGGACGGAGAAGGCUAUGUUGGCCGGGCGACGGUUGUCCCGGUUUAAGCGUGUAGGCUGGUUUUCCAGGCAAAUCCGGAAAAUCAAGGCUGAGGCGUGAUGACGAGGCACUACGGUGCUGAAGCAACAAAUGCCCUGCUUCCAGGAAAAGCCUCUAAGCAUCAGGUAACAUCAAAUCGUACCCCAAACCGACACAGGUGGUCAGGUAGAGAAUACCAAGGCGCUUGAGAGAACUCGGGUGAAGGAACUAGGCAAAAUGGUGCCGUAACUUCGGGAGAAGGCACGCUGAUAUGUAGGUGAAGUCCCUCGCGGAUGGAGCUGAAAUCAGUCGAAGAUACCAGCUGGCUGCAACUGUUUAUUAAAAACACAGCACUGUGCAAACACGAAAGUGGACGUAUACGGUGUGACGCCUGCCCGGUGCCGGAAGGUUAAUUGAUGGGGUUAGCGCAAGCGAAGCUCUUGAUCGAAGCCCCGGUAAACGGCGGCCGUAACUAUAACGGUCCUAAGGUAGCGAAAUUCCUUGUCGGGUAAGUUCCGACCUGCACGAAUGGCGUAAUGAUGGCCAGGCUGUCUCCACCCGAGACUCAGUGAAAUUGAACUCGCUGUGAAGAUGCAGUGUACCCGCGGCAAGACGGAAAGACCCCGUGAACCUUUACUAUAGCUUGACACUGAACAUUGAGCCUUGAUGUGUAGGAUAGGUGGGAGGCUUUGAAGUGUGGACGCCAGUCUGCAUGGAGCCGACCUUGAAAUACCACCCUUUAAUGUUUGAUGUUCUAACGUUGACCCGUAAUCCGGGUUGCGGACAGUGUCUGGUGGGUAGUUUGACUGGGGCGGUCUCCUCCUAAAGAGUAACGGAGGAGCACGAAGGUUGGCUAAUCCUGGUCGGACAUCAGGAGGUUAGUGCAAUGGCAUAAGCCAGCUUGACUGCGAGCGUGACGGCGCGAGCAGGUGCGAAAGCAGGUCAUAGUGAUCCGGUGGUUCUGAAUGGAAGGGCCAUCGCUCAACGGAUAAAAGGUACUCCGGGGAUAACAGGCUGAUACCGCCCAAGAGUUCAUAUCGACGGCGGUGUUUGGCACCUCGAUGUCGGCUCAUCACAUCCUGGGGCUGAAGUAGGUCCCAAGGGUAUGGCUGUUCGCCAUUUAAAGUGGUACGCGAGCUGGGUUUAGAACGUCGUGAGACAGUUCGGUCCCUAUCUGCCGUGGGCGCUGGAGAACUGAGGGGGGCUGCUCCUAGUACGAGAGGACCGGAGUGGACGCAUCACUGGUGUUCGGGUUGUCAUGCCAAUGGCACUGCCCGGUAGCUAAAUGCGGAAGAGAUAAGUGCUGAAAGCAUCUAAGCACGAAACUUGCCCCGAGAUGAGUUCUCCCUGACUCCUUGAGAGUCCUGAAGGAACGUUGAAGACGACGACGUUGAUAGGCCGGGUGUGUAAGCGCAGCGAUGCGUUGAGCUAACCGGUACUAAUGAACCGUGAGGCUUAACCU